GCUUGGUAACCAUUAGAGGUGGGGUUGUGUUUCGGCCACAAUAGGGAGUUUUGGCUCACCAGGUG
This 65-nucleotide transfer RNA is filed under the name Clonorchis sinensis. Its description in RNAcentral is "tRNA-Arg". Lineage: Eukaryota; Metazoa; Platyhelminthes; Trematoda; Opisthorchiida; Opisthorchiidae. The record is from RNAcentral.